RNAcentral lists this transfer RNA (85 nucleotides) under Candidatus Berkelbacteria bacterium. RNAcentral describes it as "tRNA-Leu". It matches the Rfam family "tRNA". Rfam says of the family: Transfer RNA (tRNA) molecules are approximately 80 nucleotides in length. The record is from RNAcentral. Lineage: Bacteria; Candidatus Berkelbacteria.
GCCGAGAUGCUGGAAUUUGGUAGACAGGCAGCCUUGAGGAGGCUGUGUCCGUAAGGACGUGCGGGUUCAAGUCCCGCUCUCGGCA